This 316-nucleotide ribosomal RNA is filed under the name Henosepilachna elaterii. RNAcentral describes it as "partial 12S ribosomal RNA". Lineage: Eukaryota; Metazoa; Arthropoda; Insecta; Coleoptera; Coccinellidae. The record is from RNAcentral.
UUAGAUACCCUAUUAUUUUUAAUGUAAUGUAUUACCAAAUGAUUAAUAGUUAUGUUCUUUAAAGUUAAAAAAUUUGGCGGUAUUUUAGUCUUUUCAGAGGAACCUGUUCUGUAAUUGAUAGUCCACAUUUUAUAUUACUUUAAUUAGAAAUUUAUAUAUCGUUGUAAUAGAAAAUUUUAUAAGAAAUUAAUUUUCAAAAAUUUUUUAAAUUUUUAAGUCAGGGCGAGGGGUAGUUUAUAUUAAAGAAGAAAUGGGUUACAAUAAUUUUAGUUUUGGAUUUAAAUUUUAAAAAUUUUUUGAAAUUGGAUUUGAACGU